UGUAAAAUAAGAAUUUUUUUAAAUGAAAAACGCUGUAUAUCAAGCCAUCCCUUUGGAACAACUAGAGGGAAAAUGUGUAUUGAUAUUUCAAAAAUAAUAAUUUAACAUCACAAUUCCUGUCUAAAUCAAAAUUUCAUCUGAUUUGGGGAAUUCUUGUGAAUGGAUUUGAAGAGUCAAAUCAGAAAUAAAACAUCACAUGAGUAUCUUAUUUGGUUCUUUGAAAUUGUCUUCUCACCUCUCACCAUAGUGAGCAACAAGUUUAAACUCUGGGACUGUCGGAUGUGUGAACAGGAGGAGAGGGUGAGUUCACCAAUAUGAUAAAAUCAGCAGAGGGAGCACCAAACAUUCUAAUUCCAUCAAUCCUUCAAAAAUAUAUUUGAAAGAUUUCUAUUACAGUACACUUCAAACUAUAUCAACCAGAGAUGCAUUAAAACAAUUUUUGGAAAACAUUUUUUAGUUGUAAAUGGAUCUUUUAUUUUAUUUAUUUAUUAAUGCAUAUGCGGUGCUGAAGAUUGAACCCAGGGCCUCACACAUGCCAGGCAAGUGCUCUACCACUGAGCCACAACCCAGCCCCAGCCCCAGCAUUAAAACAAUUUUCAUGUGAUUGAGUAUUUUCAAAUUAUAAUAAUGAAUAAAAUCCAUGAGAUUUUAUCUACAACAGUGUUUCUGUGGGUCAUGUUCUAUUUAGAAAUCCAAUAUGCUGUAUUAAAUUGAUCAAUGACCCUUUGCGUCACUUGGCUCCAAAAUACAUCAAUGUUUUUCUCUAAGUAUUAAAUUAAUAUUAAAUAAAUA
This is a non-coding RNA of Ictidomys tridecemlineatus (thirteen-lined ground squirrel), 792 nucleotides long. The record is from RefSeq and is a predicted model, not a curated record. Lineage: Eukaryota; Metazoa; Chordata; Mammalia; Rodentia; Sciuridae.